CAUUAGCGAAUUGUAAUGGGGGUUGAUGCUGGCGGUCGCCGCGUUCGGCUGCAUGUGCUUGCCCCUGACAAUCUCUAUCCAAACACCUGUGCACCUUUUAAGGGUUUCUGAGUCGUGACCGCCAUUCUGUUGGAGGUCCUCCUUAGAUUCCCUUCUUUUUACAUACACUAUUUGUAAUGAUGAACGUGGCUUGGGCCGGACACGGCUCUUAAAAUAUACAACUUUUAACAACGGAUCUCUUGGCUCUCGCAUCGAUGAAGAACGCAGCGAAAUGCGAUAAGUAAUGUGAAUUGCAGAAUUCAGUGAAUCAUCGAAUCUUUGAACGCACCUUGCGCUCCCUGGUAUUCCGGGGAGCACGCCUGUUCGAGUGUCGUGAAGUUCUCAAGCUGGGGAUGCUUUUCAUCUCUUCCAGAGAUGGUGGGCUCCCCGAAGCUCGGUUCAUUGGGCUUUGCCGUGCCCUACCUAUUGGGGCGGCUGGCCUUAAAUACAUUAGCUGGUCCUCAUGUGAGAUUUGGUUCUACUCAGCGUGAUAAUAAUUCUGACCGCUGAGGACAUCGUUCGGGAUGGCCAAAUCUCAUUUGGGUUGCUUCUAAUCUGGUUUGCAGCUCUUUCUGAGCCUGCUCCACUUUCAAUUUUGACCUCGAAUCAGGUGGGACUACCCGCUGAACUUAAGCAUAUCAAUAAGCGGAGGAAAAGAAACUAACAAGGAUUCCCCUAGUAACGGCGAGUGAAGCGGGAAGAGCUCAAAUUUAGAAUCUGGUAGUCUUCGGCUGCCCGAAUUGUAAUCUAGAGAAGCGUUUUCCGCGCUGGACCGUGUACAAGUUUCCUGGAUACGGAACAUCAUAGA
RNAcentral lists this ribosomal RNA (847 nucleotides) under uncultured fungus. RNAcentral's name for it is "eukaryotic LSU rRNA". The stretch from base 220 to 373 matches the Rfam family "5.8S ribosomal RNA". Lineage: Eukaryota; Fungi. The record is from RNAcentral.